GCCGCGAUAGCUCAGUUGGGAGAGCGUUAGACUGAAGAUCUAAAGGUCCCUGGUUCAAUCCCGGGUCGCGGCA
Non-coding RNA from Branchiostoma floridae (Florida lancelet), 73 nucleotides. Lineage: Eukaryota; Metazoa; Chordata; Leptocardii; Amphioxiformes; Branchiostomatidae. The record is from Rfam.